This 87-nucleotide transfer RNA is filed under the name Escherichia coli. RNAcentral's name for it is "tRNA-Leu". It matches the Rfam family "tRNA". From Rfam's summary of the family: Transfer RNA (tRNA) molecules are approximately 80 nucleotides in length. Their secondary structure includes four short double-helical elements and three loops (D, anti-codon, and T loops). Lineage: Bacteria; Pseudomonadati; Pseudomonadota; Gammaproteobacteria; Enterobacterales; Enterobacteriaceae. The record is from RNAcentral. RNAcentral also lists the same sequence under 5 other names.
GCGAAGGUGGCGGAAUUGGUAGACGCGCUAGCUUCAGGUGUUAGUGUUCUUACAGACGUGGGGGUUCAAGUCCCCCCCCUCGCACCA